AAUCUAACUAUGGUUUUCUCCUCUAGGUUUUUGUUUUGGGGUUUUUUUUGUUUCUUUAAUACCAGUGUUCAAACUGGGUAUGGAACAGCCUCCUUGUCUAGCAUGGCACUGAUGUAUUGUGUGACAAAACGCACCAGGGAGAGGAUGCUGCAGGAACAGCCCAGACUAACGAUCUCCACAGUGUCAACUUUGAAAUCCCCUGGUUUUGGUGCACCCAGAGGGAGCAUAUGUCAUCCACCCCAAAGACUAACAAAGACUCUCCAGAACUGCCUAGUAUCAUCAAGAGAAGGAAUCAGGAACCCAUUUUCCUCAAUCUCCUUGGCAAAAAGGAAAAGAAAUGGGUAAGGACCAAUUCUUCAAGAAUCCUGAGGCAGCCCAUUCACUGGAACAAGAAAAUAUAUACCCAGAAGGUUAGAAGGUUCAAACAGUCUCCCUGAAGCCAUGCUCAGCCUCUUGACCUUCCAAAUGAAGACGUGUAGGCACUUGACAUUGUGUCUUUGCGGG
RNAcentral lists this long non-coding RNA (504 nucleotides) under Ornithorhynchus anatinus (platypus). Its description in RNAcentral is "lncRNA (ENSOANG00000047560.1)". The record is from RNAcentral. Lineage: Eukaryota; Metazoa; Chordata; Mammalia; Monotremata; Ornithorhynchidae.